GUUACUGCUAUUGGUGUUCGACUAAGCCAUGCAAGUCAUAUGUUCCUCGUGAACAUGGCAUACUGCUCAGUAACACGUGGAUAACCUGCCCUUGGGUCUGGGAUAACCCCGGGAAACUGGGGAUAAUACCGGAUAACGCAUAUGUGCUGGAAUGCUUUAUGCGUAAAACGGAUUCGUCCGCCCAAGGAUGGGUCUGCGGCCUAUCAGGUAGUAGUGGGUGUAAUGUACCUACUAGCCAACAACGGGUACGGGUUGUGAGAGCAAGAGCCCGGAGAUGGAUUCUGAGACAUGAAUCCAGGCCCUACGGGGCGCAGCAGGCGCGAAAACUUUACAAUGCGGGAAACCGUGAUAAGGGAACACCGAAUGCCAGCAUCAUAUGCUGGCUGUCCAGAUGUGUAAACUACAUCUGUUAGCAAGGGCCGGGCAAGACCGGUGCCAGCCGCCGCGGUAACACCGGCGGCCCGAGUGGUGACCGUUAUUAUUGGGUCUAAAGGGUCCGUAGCCGGUUUGGUCAGUCCUCCGGGAAAUCUGAUAGCUUAACUGUUAGGCUUUCGGGGGAUACUGCCAGGCUUGGAACCGGGAGAGGUAAGAGGUACUACAGGGGUAGGAGUGAAAUCUUGUAAUCCCUGUGAGACCACCUGUGGCGAAGGCGUCUUACCAGAACGGGUUCGACGGUGAGGGACGAAAGCUGGGGGCACGAACCGGAUUAGAUACCCGGGUAGUCCCAGCCGUAAACUAUGCUCGCUAGGUGUCAGGCAUGGCGCGACCGUGUCUGGUGCCGCAGGGAAGCCGUGAAGCGAGCCACCUGGGAAGUACGGCCGCAAGGCUGAAACUUAAAGGAAUUGGCGGGGGAGCACAACAACGGGUGGAGCCUGCGGUUUAAUUGGACUCAACGCCGGACAACUCACCGGGAACGACAGCAAUAUGUAGGCCAGGCUGAAGACCUUGCCUGAAUCGCUGAGAGGAGGUGCAUGGCCGUCGCCAGUUCGUACUGUGAAGCAUCCUGUUAAGUCAGG
RNAcentral lists this ribosomal RNA (1016 nucleotides) under uncultured archaeon. RNAcentral describes it as "bacterial SSU rRNA". It matches the Rfam family "Archaeal small subunit ribosomal RNA", at positions 23 to 1038 of the family's 1478-position model. The record is from RNAcentral.